Molecule: long non-coding RNA, 381 nt
Filed under: Elaeis guineensis (African oil palm)
Lineage: Eukaryota; Viridiplantae; Streptophyta; Magnoliopsida; Arecales; Arecaceae
Description: long non-coding RNA (EGUI_LNC056528)
Source: RNAcentral
ACAAAGGGCGGAAGCGGAAGCCGGAGUCCGGCACGGAAUGCCUCCUGAUACACGCAAAAACGACCGGGUGGGGGAGUGCUAGCCCGGUCGGAGGGGCCAAGAAGCUCCAGAUCGAACUCCGGAGGAACUCCGUACUGAACCCUUAUCAGCAGGAGUUCAUCUGGAGUCAGAGAGCAGGGAAUGGUGCUCGACGCAAAAACUGGGCGAAGCCCAGUCCCAGAUAUGGGUUCGUCUACAGAAUGAGGAUCCUGGGGGGCUGAGGCGGAAGAACUCCCUGAACCACUAGGGGCGGAGAUGCUGGAAGACAUUUCGAACGACUCCAGAUGAAAGCCCUAAAGAUCCCAGAGAAAUCGGAUGAGACAAAGGAUGAGAGGUUGCGGG